GUGUCCACCACCCUCAUCCGGCCACCUCGGCUUCAGCCUGCAAAAAUGCCGUGAUAUUCAAGAUUUCUCCCAGAUGCAAGAUGCCACAUUUUGGAACUCGGGCUGCUUUUGGAGUGCCAAAUGUCUCCCACAAUCUGACAUCAGGAACAUGGCCAGAUGCAAGAUGCCACAUUUUGGAACUCGGGCUGCUUUUGGAGUGCCAAAUGUCUCCCACAAUCUGACACCAGGAACAUGGCCAGAUGCAAGAUGCCACAUUUUGGAACUCGGGCUGCUUUUGGAGUGCCAAAUGUCUCCCACAAUC
Long non-coding RNA from Prinia subflava (tawny-flanked prinia), 301 nucleotides. RefSeq lists it as uncharacterized. NCBI's taxonomy places the organism in Eukaryota, Metazoa, Chordata, Aves, Passeriformes, Cisticolidae. The transcript is spliced from 3 exons. The record is from RefSeq and is a predicted model, not a curated record.